RNAcentral lists this ribosomal RNA (406 nucleotides) under uncultured bacterium. RNAcentral describes it as "partial 16S ribosomal RNA". It matches the Rfam family "Bacterial small subunit ribosomal RNA", at positions 30 to 526 of the family's 1533-position model. The record is from RNAcentral.
AUUGAACGCUGGCGGCAGGCCUAACACAUGCAAGUCGAACGAGUGGCGGACGGGUGAGUAAUGUCUGGGAAACUGCCCGAUGGAGGGGGAUAACUACUGGAAACGGUAGCUAAUACCGCAUACCAUCGGAUGUGCCCAGCUGGGAUUAGCUAGUAGGUGGGGUAAUGGCUCACCUAGGCGACGAUCCCUAGAUGGUCUGAGAGGAUGACCAUCCAGACUGGAACUGAGACACGGUCCAGACUCCUACGGGAGGCAGCAGGGGGUAAUAUUGCACAAUGGGAGCUAGCCUGAUUCAGCCAUGCCGCGUGUAUGAAGAAGGCCUUCGGUUUGUAAAGUACUUUCAGCGUUGAGGCGUUACCCGCAGAAGAAGCACCGGCUAACUCCGUGCCAGCAGCCGCGGUAAUAC